CGUAAUUUCAGGCCAAUUUGGAUUACAAGUUAUAGUUAGAAAUAUAUCUGACUUUCCAUAGCGUUGAACGAUAGCCAUUGCAUCUAAAUAUCUUUUGAGCAUAUCUCUAAGCCCACAUGUGAAAGUCUGUGAUAGAACAAUCUUCUUAUCAAUUUUUGACGCUCUUGUUUCUCCAUUUUGAAUACUAUCUACAAUACCUUGAUAAAGUUUAGCACAAAUUUGCUUUUGGUUGCUACGAAAAUAGUCGAAUCCGGUAGUUUCAAUCUUAACGUACAUAUCUACAACAUAUUGUUGAAAAAGUCUACCAGUGUGAAGUAACACAGACUUACCAAAAGGUCAAAUUUGUAACUUGUAGGAAUAGUACUCCCGACAAGAAACCUGAGAUCGUUUCUUCAUUCCAUUGAGCACUGCAUGAGGACAAAGAAAAUGCAUCUUACAUUCAUCUAGAACACUUUAUAUGAGUUAGAAAACAUACAAAAAAGUGUAUUAGCAAACCUUCGACCUCUUUUUCGAUGAUUUCGGUUGCAAAAUUUACUGCGCUAGGAAAAGCUAUGCAGUCAGCUAAAUUUUGACUUUCAAAAUAUGUCUUUUGGUAUCUUUGAAUACCUUCAUGCCAACCAGAUUCUCCAAAUGUGAAAAGUAAAGGAUAUUGCAAAGGAUCAUAACAACCAUAAUAAUAAUGAACCUUAUGUGAAUUACCAGAAUGACCAUAUACAGUAAUAUCACGAGCAUGAAUAUUUGCAUUGUCAUCAUCCUCAACCCAUACAAUAGCUACUUGAGAUGCCAAAGGAGUAUUGAAGACUUUUUGAUCAAGUCCAGGAUCGCAUCUUAUUUGUAUUCGAUGGUCAUGCAAAUUAGUCAUAUUACUUAAAGACCUAAAGAAUCUACUAUAUGGAUUUACUUUCAAGAUUUCAAUCAAAAUGAUCAAAGUAGAUUCAACAAAAUUUUCUAAAAUUUUCAUACGAUUUUCAAUUUCGUUAUCUGUAUCAUAAAAAUAUAACUGCACAUAAGAAGGCUUAUUAUUUUCUGGCAUAAGUUGAUUCACAUAAUGAUAUACUUGUCCCUGAACUCUGAAAGUGUAAAUACCUUUAUAUGUUCUAAUAAGUUCUUUAUCACAUUUUACACCAAACGAAGUGAAAGCAAAAUGGUUAUUAUAUCCACAUGCACUUUUCUUAAAUUCCAUGCAUUCAGGUUCUUUAGAAGUAAAUAAAUCAUACAAUUCAGUCGGUGAAUCAGGCAUAUAAAGUUUAACUUUUCCAUCAGAACAACAAAACCCUUUAGUUUCUCGAUAAAAUUUUCGUGCACCACAAUAUUCACAGUAGUUCCAUGUCGAUAAUACAUAUGCAUUAGUUGGUAUGUUCAAUAGGUUAGAAAAUCCCCGUACUUUAGAAUGAACAAUAUUAGUCGAUUCUUGAUUUGAAGUGGAAGUCUGGAAAAUAGGAGGAACUGUAAACUUCUGAGCAUGGGAAGCACCUAAAUUAUUUAUUUUCAAAUAAUGUAGAAUCAUUUAUCCUUUUACGAAGAUCAAUGCGUAAAGUUUGAAUUCAAUUCCUCCUAUCCGCCUGUCUUUGAUUUUGUUGUUGGCGAAUAAAGGCAGUAUAUGAUUUACUUGUAUUUUGAGAAGUACCAUCAAUGUUACAAAAUCUAGAUUCUUGAUCAACAUAUGUUUUUGAAGAAUUCAUGGAGAACAAAACUUCACCUAAUUUAAUUUAAAAAAAUUCAUUUUAGUAAAUGAAAUAACAAAA
RNAcentral lists this long non-coding RNA (1745 nucleotides) under Olea europaea subsp. europaea. The record is from RNAcentral. Lineage: Eukaryota; Viridiplantae; Streptophyta; Magnoliopsida; Lamiales; Oleaceae.